AAAUGUCUUUUAAAAAUAAAAGUAUAAUAAUAAGCUGCAGCGUUUGGUUAGAGGAUAGAAAUAGAAAUAAGCCCUUAUCCCCUUUUCUACCCAAACGCUAAUUUUUUAUCCAAAAAUAGUAGUUCUCGAUUAUCCCUACCAACACCUUCAUUUUCUAUAUAAAACUACUUAAUAUUUUUCUUAUUUCCGGAAACAAUUCAAUUUUCAUUCAAACGCUAUUUUUCUUAUCCCUAUAUUUGUACCUAUUUCUGUAAUAACUAGUUCUUACUUAUACCCGAACCAAACGGUACCUAAAGUACAAAAACCCAUUAAUGGGUCAGUGAACAAUAAAAGCGUAAUUUAAUUAAUUGAGAACAUGAUGAUAUAAGAAAGAGUGUAGAAUGCGUUCAACUGAUUGAGAACAUAUGAUACACAAGAAAAAGUGUAGAAUGUGACGGUGACACCACAGGUCUUUUAGAUAGCAAUUAUACCACAUCUUAUCUCUAUCCCUCGGUUAUUGACUUGGCCAGUAGCAAGAGCAAGAUUUACCUUGGCACUCAAAUAAAGCUUGAGUUACUGCAGAAAAUCGCUAUUUCCCGUCCCACUUUCCGGCGAAACAAAUAUGCCCUAAGCCCUUUCCUUCGGCCAAAUAAAAUGAACUCUGCAGGGAAAAUAGCACCAACAACAUCUAAGACUCAGGAUAUCCACCAGUCGACUUCAAGGCAGCUUUUGCAAAAUCAGACACUUUGACUUUAAAAUUUGAAUAUGUCGACUAUCUUUACUAAUAUAGUUCACGCAAUCGUCACAACUAUAAAUUCAUUAAAAUAAAUAGAUUAAAUUUUAAAGGCAGUCAAAGUAACAACGACCGACUUGAAUCAAACAAAUUGAAAAAUCUAGUAAAAUUAAAAUUUUAAAAGAUUAGUUAACUAAUUCAAAAUGAUACAUAGUUCAGAUAAGUUCGGUAAGAUUUUACCAAAAUGGAAAAUAAAGAAGGCUCGGAUUUGGCGAUGAAUGAAAUAUCAUGAAUUGCAGAAACUUCCACUGCAAGGUCAGUAUCAGGAAAGCCAAGUGCAUAAGAAGUACGGAUACACUGCAGGCAUGUGGGUAGGUGUACAGGGAGCAUCGCUCAACGAACUAAAGAUGGCGGCAAAUGGUCACCUGCAAAGAAGAUGGCCGGCCAAAAACUCGCAGCGCCAAGCAUGCUUAAGCCUCAAAAGACAGGAGAGAAUGGCAGAAACCUGCACAAAAAAGCAUCAAAACUCAAAAUUCAAUGAGUCUGUACACCAAAUCAUGCAAACCAGUUUAGUAUCUGGUUGUUUGGGCCAAAAUCAUCAUAGCCUCAAAAAGAACAGAAAAGAAUCGGCACACAACACAAUUGCGCAAGAUCCGGAAAAAACCAAAAAUGAAAUGGAGGGAGAGUAUUAGUUAGUAGUUCUCUGGCUUCAUUGGGAAUUGCGGGCCAAAUGCAUUACAUGCGACGGAAAAAAAUUCCAUUUGCUUUUGCAAAUGAUGCCACAUUGAGCAAAUCACAAGGCUCUAUUAACAGAUAAUGUUUGCACUGUGCUAGUUACCCUCAGUAAACUUGUAGCAUAGGAGGCUCAGAUUCAGCCAACUAUCAGUCAUGAAAUUUGCCAAGCUCACUUAAAAAAAAAAAAGAAGAAGAAUUAAAUAGGAACAUUUGUCUAAAAACAUCAAAACCAAAUACUUACAUCACAAAAGCUAAGCUGCCUUCAACCGCAUGCUCGAAAUAUUUUCCCUCCUCAGAAAGUGACCAAAGCAUGCUUACUUUGAUUUACAGGCACGUUUGGUUCAAAAUAGGAAUCGAUCGAAAUCAAAAUAUGAAUGGAAAUGGACUGAAAUAUAAAAAGGAAUGAUAAAAACUGCUAAUUUGUUUGUUUGAUAAGAGAAAUAAGAUUCAGAAUCAGAAUCAUAUUCAAUUUGAAAUACAAAAAAAUGCUAUCCAAAUUCGUAAUUAAAAUUUGAAACAAAAUUUGAACUUAAAAUUUAAAUUUACUAUUCAAAUUCAAGUUCAAAGUCAAAAUCUAAAUUUUGAACCAAAUUCAAAUAUCAAACUUAUAUUCAAAAUUAAAUUUGAACUAAAGAACUUAAAAUUUUAAAUUUAAAUUCCUAAGCCAGAUUCAAAUUUAAAGUAUAGAUUAAUAUUUGAAUUUAAAUUAUUAUUAGUGAAAAAAAUAUUCUUUUCUCAAUUCCUUCCGGAAUCAAAGAUGAUUCCUAACUCCUUAGUGGGGAUCAUUUUUUCGUUUUUCGUUCCCCUGGAAAUAAAAAACGAGAUGCCAAUCCCUCAAACCAAACACCACCAAUAGGAAUGGAUCUUUCCAAUUCUUAUUCCCAGCCGCAAAUCCUUCAAACCAAACAUGCCCUAAGAGCAAUGCUAUAUUAGCACCAGCUCUUACAGAGGAAAACCAGAUAAAGAAAACUGUGACAAACAACCAUUCCAGAGGCCGCAAAUAGUUGCCUGCAGAGGAGCAGGCCAUCCAAUUUUGCCUGGCCAUCAUGUAAGUUCCUCAGCAGGAGGUCCGCAGCUGAUGUGGAGCAUGACCAUGAAACAAUUUCUUAAAGAGAAGCAAAAGGACUCCAAAGAAACCAGCAAUCAAAUCCCUAAAGACCAAGCUAUGAACUCAGAAACAAAUCACAAAGUCUUUGUCCCAAUUAGGGAAAAGAUCCCAGCUGGGAAAGAGCAAGAUCAUCACAGCCUCUUGAAGCACAUAGAAAAAGAACUGUUGAUAAGAAGAGGUUUUCCGGAAGCUUAGGCUAAAAAGGUUGAGAACCCAUGGUGUAAUUUAUCCCUUCUUCAAGGAGCACAAAGUAUCCCUUUGCAAUCAAAUUGAUGAUUAGACCACGUGUUAAAUACACGACAAAGGCACUAACUAUUACUGCAAUAACCAUAUAUACUCUCUUUCUCUCUCACCCGCUCCUGUUGAGCCCACAGAUGGCCAUAACGAUUGCAAACUGAACAGAUUCACCUCAUCAACUGUGUUUCAACCUCAACAGCAGAAAGGUACAAGUCAACGACCAGACCAGAACAAAUAGAUAAAAGAAUUGGCUAUUUGCAGGCCUCAUAUUUCCCACGGCAUGGCAAUUCUCAAAAUUUAAAAUCAAACCAUAAAACAAAUCUUCAAAAUCAGGCAAAGUUGGGAACUAUUAUCAAAUUUAUUUGCAAGAAAAUUGAUAAUAUCCUCUCCUCAGAAAGGGAGGGAAAAGAGAAAGAAAGAAAGAAAGAAAGAAACACUAACAAUAAGGACUUCAAUCAUGAACUUUCAAAAUGCAAUUCAAUCUACCUGUCACGAAAUAACAAGGAUGCCCACCCGACAUUCAGGGACACAAAAGUGAGCCAAACACAUGCGAGAGCUAAGCUUAUAUCAAGACUGACUGGAUACUCAACGCGCCAAUUGAGCAGACCAUUGUUGAGCAAAGUGUCAAGCCAAACACAAGCUGUUCGUUAACAAAGAGCUCAAUCGAGAGGCCAACUCAGACGAAACGGUUGUCCACUGAACAGCAAACUGUCCAAAUUCCACCAGCCAAGUAAAUCAGUGUCAAAAGCAGAAUGUAUGACUGACAAGACUUGCCUGAAGAAAUAUACAAAAGAACAGAAUGCAAAAAUGCCUUGUAUCAAUUUUAUAGUAUAAUAACAUGCCAGGCCCAGAUUGGAUUGGGUUGGGUUCAGGUGGGGUUGAAUUUGGUUGGCUUUGUAUUGGAUUAGAUAUCAACCUUCACCCACUCUAUAAUGGUGUACAGUUGAGGUUCCACAAUCCUAACCCACACCGAUUUCCAAAUCAUACAAUCCAAUCCAACCCAUUCGAUCAGAUUGGGUCAGGCAGGCUCUGGCCAAACCCAACCAAAGUUGUACGUCAAAAGGACUUGAAGAAAGGCUCAGAAUAGCCCGUGUCAGACAUGAAAAUAAAUAGAUAAUUUUACAGGAACAUAUAUGCAGAAAAUCUGAAGAAAGGACAGACAUGGAAAGGGAUGGCUAUCCGCCAGACAAGCCCAACUUGUUAGGGUAAAUCACCCUUAUUCAUCACUCUUGGCUUAAAAACCUGAAGCAAAUGGCCCUUAUUCAUCACUCUUGGCUUAGAAACCUGAAGCAAAUGGCUGCCCGAAUAGAAACAGACCAGCCAAAAUUUCCCUGCCAGAGUACAAGAACCUUAGUAAGGGUGUGUUUGGUUUCAUGUAAAACUUUGAAAAAAAAAUUUCGAUGGAAAAAAAUUUUUGUAGGAAAAUAAUCUUAUGCUGUAGUGUUUGGUUUGUCGGAAAAAAAAAAAAAAGUUUUCCAUUACGGUUGUCUGGUCGAAAGGAAAAAAAGGAAAAGUUAUAAAUAGAAAACUAUUAUAUGUAUUUUCUUUUAUUCUAUAUAUUAUAUAUUAUUAAUAUAUAAUAAUUAUCAUAUUAUAUAUAUUAGUAUUAUAGUUUAUAUUUAUAAAUAAAACAUAUUAAAAUAUAUUAUAAAAUAAGUAUAUAAUAUAAUAUAUGACAGUAUAUAUAUUUAAUACUAUAAAAUAAAUUACUAUAUAUUUAUAAAUAAAAUAUUAUAUAAUAAUAUAUUUAUAUAAAAAUGAAAUAUUAUAUAUAUAAUAUAUAUAAUGAAUGAGGGGGAGAGAGAGAGAGUAGGUCCAUGGGUGGACUCUCUCACACGGUCCACGAGGUCAAGUUCACCUCAUGGACCGCGUGCUAAAGCACCCAUGAGCCGCUUUUUUUUUUUUCAGAUCCAAGUUUUCGUUUUCCGCUCGAACAGCGCGAAAAACGAAAACGCCCACUUCUCCGAAAAUCUGUAAAAUUUUUACGAGCAACCAAACAUCGGAAAAUUAUUUUUCCAGCGAAAUUUUUUUUUUCAGGAUCCUUUUACAACGAUCCAAACACACCCUAAACAAAAUUAAAAGAACGGGUUAAUUUCUUCAAUGCCCUCCUGAAAUAUUGUAAAUUUGUAAUUUCAUAAAUAACCCUUCAAAUUGUAAAAUAUCAUCAGUGCUCUUAUAAUAAAUUAAAAAGUUUAGGGUUAAGGCUUUGGGUUUGGGGUUUAGAGGGGUUUGUGAUAGAUUUAUAUGUUUAGAGAAGUAUGAAUGAUAUUUGAGUGUAGCUACUAUAAUAUCAAUAAUACUAAGCGCUUGGUGCUAGCAAGUUUUCCACCGUUAGAUAUACCCUUUGACUAUUGUCAUCCGUUAGAUCAUACUAUUCAACCAACCACCUACUCAAUCCUAGGGAAACACUAUCAUCCUAACCGCACAUCCUUUCACUCAAGGGCCGAAAACCUAAUAGCAUCAAUGAUUUGGUGCUAUUAAUAGAAUAGUAGCCUAGUUCAUGAUAUUUUAGAUUUUGAAGGGGCAUGUAUGAUAUUUUGAAGUUUUAGAGGUCUAUGUUUAAAACUACCCCAAGAAGAAAAGUGCGAACAACAAGGUCUGAAAUCUGAAUCACAUAUUAGGUAAAUAUCAUUUGAGAGAGCUAAAAUCAUCAUCGCCUACAAAAGGGUAACCAAUAUAUACUAGUACAUAAUGUACUUACACAUGAUGAACCUGUAGAAGUAUUGAAAGGGGAGAGACUUCUCAUUUUGCUGCUUAUCCAAUUGGUUUGCCAUCGCUUGCAAGGAGCGGAUUUUCUGCAGCAUUGGGUGCACAAAAUCCCUCCAUCCUUGGUAUGCUACAGCUCCCACCAACUGCUCCAUAAAAACACCAGGUGAAGAAAGUUACGCAAGACACUCUUUCGAGAAGAAUAUAUGACCAAAUAUACCAUGUCAUUUGUGAACCACGCCAGACAAAAUCAAGCAGAUGACAUCAAACGUGUAAGUUCCUGCUAGGACAAGGGCUACCAUGCCAUUCCUUUGAAGAUGAGUAGUCUGCAAAAAACAUUCUAGAUUCAAUCAAGAGAAUUACCCAAUCAACCACUACUUCAUGAAUUACCAGUGAAGGGCCAGCGCAAUUCAGUAGGAAGUGACUAAUUAGUGGUUCAGCCAACCACCAUCUUAGGUAAAUGAGUAAUUAGUAGCAUUCCUGAUAUCUGCAAACGAAAGAGUGGGAGCAAAUGGCCAUCUGUAGCAGAGUAGACCAGCCAAAAUGUGCUUCACCAUUGUACUAGAAUCUCAGAGAGAGAGAGAGAGAGAGAGAGAGAGGUGUACAACCGAACCUAACCGAACCAAGAGGUGUAGAACCAAGGAUUUAAAUAUCCAUCAGCACGAACCGUAUCCACCGUGUCGUAUCGUGCUAACAAGAUAUCGGCACAAUACAGCCCCCUUGCCAAUGGCACAGCUCAAAACCCUCUAUUCUUUCAGUUAGUAAGUAAUUUUCUCAAUAAUGUUUAAAAGAUUUGAUAAAGAUACAUAAUAAACAUUUAGAAUAUUUUGUUUCUAAAGAAAAUAAAUAUAUCAUGCGAUUAUGUGUAGGCACAUGUAUUUUUUUUAUCAGCAUGCAUCGACACGGCCUGGCACGCACUAUAUCAUACCGUGUCGGUAAGUUUCCGGCACGACCCCAUGCCAUGCUACUUAAAUCCUUGUGUAGAACCGAACUGAACAGAACCGAACCGAACCAAACCGAACAGUUUAGUUUAGAAAUUUGUUAAAGACCGAAUAGUACCGAAUAGUGCACAACCCUAGUACUGCAAAUAAAUAAAGAAUCAGUACCCUAACCAAUAUUUUUCAAAUCCCAGUUAAAAGAUCUAAAAGAACAAAACUUCAUCACAAAUCUGGAAAAUAUCCCUUCAGCGGGCCAAAAUUAUUAUUGCCGCAAAAGAAAGGAAAAGAAAUGAAAAAGUUACUCAACAGAAACAAACAUAAAUUAGGUAAAAAAGUAUGGAGACCCCCCUCAAAUCUAGGCAUUUCUACUAAAGGUCCCUAAACUUCAAAUUUUCUCAUUGACACCCCCUCAACUUUCACUUGUUUUGAUUUACACUAUUUUUGACAAUUGACUUGGGUAUUUUGUGAAUUUAUCAGUAAUUCCACCAAAUUUCAAGGUUCUAACUACUUUUCAGCUAAAGUAGCACAGACUUCAAUAUUAAUCAACAACCAACAGCAAAAGAAGCCAUUAAUUUUUAACAAAAUUCUCCAUUUAAUUAACCAAAACAACUCAAAUCCAAACAAACAAAAUUUGAAAGGGUGUCAGUCACAGAAAGAUGGAUAUCAAUAAAACCAGUUAAACUGUAGAAAAGAGUAGGCAGCUUCAGUAACCCAAAACAUCAGAACCAGUCCAGAAUAGAAUCAAUCAAAGAAGUAUAGGAAAUUAUAAACAAAGGCAAAAAAAAAAGCAACAAAAAUAAAUAACUCAAAACGUCAAUAUGGAAUCGGAACAAAACCGUAAAUCUAACACCCUUAAAAGAAAGAGAGGACAAUUUGAACAAACAAGCCAUUAACAUCAUGCCAAAUUUAAGUUCUAAGCAAAAUUCCUAAUUAUUAAGACCACAAUUGCAAUCAAAAAAAUAAGAGGAUUAAUUAACCAAAAAAACGCAUAGCAAAAAGCCAACUGAAUAUCUCAGUAGAGUAAAAGUAUUGAUUGCUAGACUAGGCCAGAUGGAACAGCAAAGGCUCAGCUUGGCCCACCUAUCUCAGACAUCAGAAUAGUAAAGCCCUCAAACAACGGAGCUAUAAAAUAGUUGUAAAAAGGGAUAAAUCACCACACAUUUUCACCUCCCCCUAUCUGCUGGCCAAAAACUGUGGAUGCAAUUGGUUGCCCACCAAGAAAUGGGCCUGCCAAAAUUUGCAUUGCCGCCACAGUUGAAUCUCAAUAGAUGAAGAGUAGAGAAGAGAAAACAAAUAAAGCAUCAAAACUCAAACCCUGAACCUAAAUCCAAUCACCCACGAUCUGAACCAAAAUUGUGUAAGGCCUAGUUUGGUUAUGUGGCGGCGAAAUGCACCUUUAGGUGCCAAAGUCAUCAUUGCCUUCAAGAGAAAGAAAAAGAGAAGAAGAUGGUAUCCAGUAGCAGUAGCAGCAGCAAAGAAAAUCAAGCAAGAAAAAAGGCUUGUGAUAAUCUUGACAUACAGACAGAGGGGGCAGCCUUUACAAACUUCCACUCUCUUAUCCAUGACAAGUGAUUAUAACAAUCUGAAGAUAAGUCUUCGGGAGACAUUACAAUGUAAUUUGACAGAGUUCUAAUAGGAAAGAGUUAACUGCUCCAUUUGUCCCCAACCUUAAGCAGAGUUUUCACUUUUGUCCCCAACUUUAAAGAGUUUUCAUAGUGGUUCCCAGCCUUUUAAUUUUUGCAAUCGAGUCUCAGCGUUUAUUAGUUGUUUCAAUCAAGUCCUUCCUGUCAAAAAGGCCCAUUAGCUGUCAUGAAGAUUGCGAUGGCAAAGUUUUGUACCAAGCAAGCAUGAUUUGGUGUUGACAUAGCAAAUUCCAUCCAAGUUAACGAGCAUUUCUGUGGAUAAAAUGUUAGAUACCCAACUGCAAAGAUUAAAAGGUUGAGGACUAAAACUUGGAUAAAGGUCGGGACCAACAGUGAAAUUAACCCAAGAAGAAAUUACUCUCUGGACCUGGUCCACCAUGUCAACCGUGUACAGCCAAUGUUUAAAAAACAGGUUCAACCAGGAAAAUAUCAGUUAAGAUACAUAAUGCAUGCCCCAUUGGAGGGCGAAUUAGCCUCUGGUUGAUCAAGUAAAGAAAAUUCCACCCCCUCUCAUCUUCUCCAUUCCAAGUCCCUCCUACGGGCUGAUGGCAGCGGCAGUUGUGACAGAACCUUCUAAGCUUCCUUGGCAUCAAAAUAUUCCAUAUACAAAUCAAAGAUUAGAGAAGGGAUAAGUGAAUGUUUACCAUAAUGGCUGAUAUAAUAGCACGCGAAAUAGAUGCUGCCUUUUACUGCAAAAACAGUCUGCUCUCUCUCCCCCUGUUAGGGAUAAUAUCUAAUAUAACCCCUCAAAACUUCUGAAAUAUCUUAUAUACCCCCAUUUUUUCGUUUCAUAUAUACCCCGUGUAAAUUUUUCCGUUAUUCAAAAAUAACCCCGCUGUUAAUACCCGUUUAGUCAUCUCAGGUCAAAUCCAGAUUAAAUUUCUACUAGAGUUAAAAAGAAGUCAAAAACCUCUUUUGCCCCUAACUAAAGGGCAAAUAAGAAAGUUGGUGACGAUAGAAGGGUAUAUUUAAAAAGGCAAAAAGUCCAAAUACUUUUUUUGCCCCUAACUUAACAACAAAUAAGAAAAGUUUGUGACAGUAGAAGGGUAUAUUUGAAAAGACAAUAAUAAUUCACAGAGAUAAUGGUUGUUCCUAACAGUUUUAUUGACAAAAUUUAACUCUAAAGAUAUAUUUGAUAUAACUUGGAACGUUAGAAGUGUAUUUUUAAUAUUAGCCUUCUAAGAGGGGUAAAUGAGAAAGUCGGAAACUUUUCAGGAGUAUAUAAGCAAUUGCCCCCUCUAUUAUAUGCCUCUCCCCCUCUUACUGCUGGCUCCACAGACAGCUGCAAAUGGUUGAUUGGUUCUCCAUUUAAGAAUGCACGGUCCAAAUUUCACCGUGCCAACUAUAUAAGAUGCUCAGCAGAGGAGUACAGCUGGAAAGAAUAGCCUUUAGGGCUGAUAACUGAGAUCGCUGAUCAUGAACUGUUAAUUAAGAUCGCAAAUCAUAAACAGUUCUUGUUAGGCCGAAACGUGGCUCAGAAACAGCUAGCUUCAUUAGCUUGUUUAAUUAAACAAGGUCAUUACCCUAACUUGCUCAUGUUAAAUUGGCCACACGCUGCAGGUUGUAAAAAGAAUCCACUAAUCAGCAGACCGACCCAGCACAAAGUAAUUCUCUGUAUUUUCUCAAAAAAAAAUAAUAGUUUUUAAAUUGUGCAAAACUGUUAAAGUUGGAAACUAAAGAUCAUCAGUCAUAUUUGCAGACCAAAUCAUCACUAUCAGAGAACUUGAAAAAAAGGUCAAAUCAUGAGCUUUCAAAUUUUCAAUAUAUGCUCAAUACACUACUUGCAAAAGUAAGAAUGCAAAUUGCAAAUCCACCAUCCAGGAAUCCACAUAAAUUUCAACAGAGCAAACUCUUUUAGGAUAUCACCUAAACGACAAGAUCACAACACAUUGGGUAUCACAGAAGAAGCCGAGUAUAAAAUAAAUAACAACACCGCAAUGUACCCAAGAAACAGCUUACUUAGUUUAGAAUAAAUAAAUAAAUAAAAAUACUUGAUGUCCCAGAAGGAAAGAGAUCAGCAGAUUUGUUGAUUCAUAAGACGGCAAUUACAAGGCAAAAAAUAAAGGGCCAGUUCCUGCCAUCCAACCAAACGCAAAAAGUCAGAUGGCUACAGCAUGGUUGCCGUGGGGCCAUCCAUGCUGCCAUGCCAUCAGAACCUACACUACAUGAAUCUGAUAAAAGAAAAUAGUGCGAAGCAAGUAUUACUGUAAGACCAGAUAUUGGACAACAUAUAAAAGAUGCAAUUUUUCACGGCAACAACAACCCUCUGAAUCUCCCACCGCCCUCCACUCUUGCUGGCCUCACAGAUCGAGACAAAUGGUUGCCUACUCAAGAAUGGACCAUCCGAAUUUCACCUUGGCAGCUGUAUUAGAACCUCAUCAACAGAGUACGAGGGGGUAGAGCUGGCAGUAGGCUUGUUAAUUGAGCUCCGCCACACAUGAAGAGCCAAAAUUUGCCUUGCCACUUAAAAGGCAGAGAUGCAAUUUCCAAACCACAGGUUAACAAAGGGAAAAUGCACUAAACCACAGGGUGAUAUUUGAAGUGUAUUAAAUUUUAGGGCUGUUUUCACUUUCUACACCAUUCUAUUGUUUUUGCCCAAGAGAAAAGAUAUCCCUACGCGCCCCUCAAAAAUUUUCCACUUUUUCCUGAGAAUACGUUUUCAAUUGCUCUACAUGUAACCAAACAUCUCAAUUGACAGCAUUCAAUUGAGAUGGACCAGGUGGCACUUCCGGCGUUCAAUCUGCUACUCAAAAAGAUAAGAUUUGGUAAUUUACACCAUUGGUCACUGAACUUAUCAUGAAACUUCACUUGGGUAACAUAACCAAUUUCAAAACUAAGGCAAGAAUGUACAAAGAGCCCUCAACCAUAAGCCAUUUUGAUCAAAUAACAGAAUUCAUGCACCUCUUUUCUCCAAGUCAGAUCCCUCCUGACAGUGAAUGGCUGCAGCAGUAAGCAUUCUCGCUAUCCAGGCUACCAUGCCAUAUAGACCUUCAGUAAGGGACCAGAUGAGAAGAUAAGGGUUCUCUUAGGAGAUAACAAAUAUCGUUAAUAGGGUUGGCAAUCCAGCUUGCAGUUUGCGAGCCAACUUGUGUUCGGCUCGAAAUGAGCUGGAGAUCGAUCGCUCGUUUAUAGGGUUGGCAAUCCAGCUUGCAGUUUGCGAGCCAGCUUGUGUUCGGCUCGAAAUGAGCUGGAGAUCGAUCGCUCGUUUAAACGAGCCGAACACAAACUAAAUUUUUCAGCUCAAAAUCUUAAUGAGCCAAAUUCAAGCUAGGGUCAGCUCGCUUGUGUUUGGCUCGAUAUAGUUCGAAUUAAUAAAUAUUACAAAGUUUUACCAUUUGGAUUUUAGGCCAACCCAAAUGCAAAAAGAACUAUAUUAGAGAAUUUCAAUUACUAGAAUAAUAUUCCAAGUUUUCAAUCUUUCAACUUUUCACCCAGUAGUAGGGCUAACAAUCUUGCUUGUUGUUUCAACUCAUGUUCGGCUCGUUAAUAAGCAAGCCGAACACGAGCUGGAUUUUUCAGCUCGAUAUUGUAACGACCGAACUCGUGUUUGUCUCGUUUAAUAAACAAGCGAACACGAGCCGGCCCCAGCUCGCUCAUGUUCGGCUCGUUGACACCCCUAAUCGCUAACAAGAAAAGAGAUCUUCUCUCCUCUCAUCUUGGCAAAAUCAAAUCCCCACUAAUGGCUGCAGCAGUUGCCACGAGGCUGAUCAUGCUGCCUUGCCACCAAAACCUCCAGCACAAGAUAUGGAUAGAAAAGAAAGCUAAAAAUGUAUGGAGACUCCCUCAACUAUAGGCCUUUUUGGGAUAGGAACCCCAAUAUUCACGAAAGACCAGCACCUGUUCGAAAUGCCUAAAAGCAAUUAGACACAAUGGCAGUCCAAUCAACAUUGUCAUCAUCCACUAAAAACUGUUUCUCACAGCUUGAAUGAGCAUCAAAUGGCUUUAAUAGCUUCAAGGGCUUAAUGAUCAGACCUCGAAUGAGCUUUCAUUUUAGAAGGAUGGGGAUCGAAUGAGCUUUCAUUGAAAUGGAUGGGGCAGGCCUUCAUCCACUACACAAAAAGAUGGGACGGUAAAUUGCACCAUUGGUCACUAACCUUGUCAAGAAACUUUACUCGGGUAACACACCCAUUUUCCAAAUGAGUAAAUAUAUACAAGGUCCCCAAUCUGUUACCCAAGUUUCAAUUGAAUCCCUAUCCUUCUAAUUGUUGCAAUUAGAUCCUUAACCUCCUCUAAUUGUUUCAAUUGGGUCCUUUCCAUUGUAAUCUCCAGUAAUUUGAAUGGACAUUGCCACUUCAGCUACCACGUAGCAUGGAUAAAUUUUGAACACUUGGUGUCUAGGAAUGGAUUUUCAAAAUUCAUAAUUGUUGAUACAUAAGCUCUUUAAAUAUUGUAAAGAUGCGAUGAAUAAAGUGUACGUAUACAAGAAGAAGAAAAAAAAAGGUUAUAUAAGAUCAUAGACCUGGUUCAACCGGUUAGGGCAUUGGAAAGGUGGUGUGGCAAACAUUGUUUGAUGACGCAGAGAUUUUGAUGAAAAAGAACCAUUUAAACCAUCUAGGAAAGGUUUACUUAAUUGCAACAAUCAGAAGGUUAGGAACACCACUGAAACUUGGAAAAAAGGUUAAGGACCUUCUAUGUAAUUUACCCUUUUCUAAAUUAAAGGCAAAAAUGUACAAAGAGCCCCUCAACUUUCCGCAUUUUUUAUUGGUCAAGUAAACUGAACUCGCCCCCCUCUCUUCUCCAAGUCCUCCAGAGGGUGAAUGGUUGCAACAGUUGCAUUCUAGCCAUCAAUGUUGCCAUGCCAUAAAAACCCUCAACAGAGGAUCUAAAAAUAAAAUAGAUCAGUAAGAGAAAAUGCUACAAAUUAAAACACAAUGAAGAAGACAUGGAGAGUGGGGGAAAGGAAAGCUAAGAUUCGCCUUAGACAAUUUCAUAUCGAGAUGUCCCACUGGUCAAAAGGAUAUCCUUAUCUGGGGAUAAUGGCUGCAGCAGUUGCCAUAAGGCCAACCAUGCUACCUUGCCACCAGAACCUCACACAAGAUCUGGAAGGGGUUAAAAAAAGUUAAAAAUGUAGAGAGAACCCCUCAACUAUAGGCCACUUUGGAACAGAAGUCCCAAGAUUGAAAAUAUCCCAUCAACUAUUCCAAAUGCCCAAGGGCACAAUACCAGUCCAAUCACCAUUGUCACCUUUCAAUACAUAGACCUAACAACAAAGGAUUUAUGAAUGGUGGCAUGGCAAAGGUGCAAGUGGAAGAGCAGCCAAAGAGAGGAGGGUUUUGGUACUUUUCCCUUUCCUUUUGUUUUUUUUUUUUUUUUUUUUGAGAGAGAAAGAUAGGUAGCAUGCUACCCGUUUCGUUUAUUUCAUUUAGAAAUAAACUUAGCUGGAAAAUAUGAACCAACUAGAAUUCGAACUUGAAUCUCGGAUACCAACCACCAAGUCCUUUGCCACUUGCUCUAGGGACGGUCAGUAAUGUUGUCGUUUGUUAAUACUUGCAGAUAUAUCUCUGCUCCAGUUUUGUACAUGAUAUAUACCCAGAUUGAUCAGUUUCUAAUUAGUUAGCACUGUUCUUUAAACUAAUUUAUUACUGCUCUUGACAGGAUAAGAUGUACGUAAUUUAGAAGCGCUUAGAAUUUUAUGAUACGAUUAAUACUAAACAGAGCAACUCGCGCAAACAGACACAAUUCUUAUUAAAGCAUGCAUGUCUCUACUUAGCAGUGUUGAUCCCUCUCCUUUUUACAUUUCAAUCUUAUUUCUUUCGGAUUGAGGCUUACAAAUAACUAGCUAACUAGCUAAAUUCCGGAGUUUUUGGACUACUAAGCCCACAAAAUUUUUGAAUAUAAAAAUAGACAUUUAAAAUUUUUAUUUAUAAAAAUAAGCUGUUAAAAGCGGUGAAUCAUUUAUUAUUUUUUAAAAACGAUGAAUAAUUCACCACCUUUAUCCUAAUUUAUAUAUUUCUUAUCUCCANGGGUGAACACACAAUGCAUCAAAAUCAUAGGCAUACACGCCAAAUCCAACUUUCCAAUAUUAAAACCAACAAUUCUGCACCACAAGGAAAAUAUACCCGGAGAGGGCCAAAAUCAUCGUUGCCUCAAAAGAAAGAAAAGGAAGAAAAGUAGAAUCGUCCAGUAGCAGCAUCAAAGAAGGAAAAAAAAAAAAAAAGGGGACCCUGAAAUGAACUUAAAAUGGAGAAUGACAGGGCAGCACUAUUGACCUUCCAUUCCUUACAAAGAACACCACCUUAGUGUUAGCGUCCUUUUGGCCAAGCUCUUCUGGUAUGCUUCCAAUUGCGGUUAUCUUUAGAAAAGCGUUCAACACAAAUUUAGAAGCUUUUGUUCAGCUGGAAGCUGAAUUGAGAGAAACAGCAUCUUUUUCUUUCUAUUUUUCUUUUCUCUUCUUUUCUUUUUUGUGUGCAUGUGUUGAGGGAAAUUGCAGCAGGCGUGGUGUUAGUGCCCUUCUGAACUACACUAAAAUAGCACUCCAUGCAGCAGAACUACACCCGACAGCAGCCAAAACAGACCCUAACUCUUCAAUAGCCUUCAACGUACCACUCAUAUCGAUUGGCCUGUUUGCGCUGAAAGAGCUUCGGCAGAAGUGUGUCAUUAGUAGAACUGCUCAAAAAGGCACUAACAGCACAAUAAGGGCAUGUUUGGUUCAAAAUCGGAAUCAAAAUCGAAAUACAAACGGGAAUAGACCGGAAUCAAAAAAGGAAUGAUGAAAACUCUGAAUUUGUUUGGUUCAUAAGAGGAAUAGGAAUCAAAAUCAUGUUCAAAUUGAAAUUCAUAAAAUUUAAAUUUUAAAUAAAAUGUAAAUUCACAAUCCAAAUUUGUAAUCAAAAUUUGAAUCCAAAAAUGAACUCACAAUUUGAACUUAACAUUUAAAUUUACAAUUUAAAUUCAAGUUCAAAGUCACAAUUAAAUUUAGAACUAAAUUCAAAUAUCAAACUUAUAAUAGAAUUUAAAUUUGAACUUAAAAAAUUAAAAAUUAAUAUUUUGAGUCGAUAAAUUCAAAUUCAAUUUAAAGUUACAAUUUAUUCUACAAUUAACUAUAGAUUAAUAUUUGAAUUUAAAUAAUUGUUAGUGAAAAAUAAGGAGUUCUUUUCUCGAUCCCUUUCGGAAUCAAAGUUGAUUCUCACCUCCAUGGUGGGAAUCAUUUUGUAGGGAUUCGAUUCCCCCCGGAAUGGGAAUCGGAAUGUGAAUCCCUCAAACCAAGCAACAACAAUAGGUAUGGAUCAGUGCGAUUCUCAUUCCAAGCCUCCAAUCCUCAAAAUAAACAUGUCCUAAAUGUAAAUGAACUUCUAGAAGGAGCACUUUAAAGGACAAAGUAUUACCUUGACCUGGUCCAUCACAUUAAUUCGUGAACCUUAUCAGCUAAUGCAAUAAAGAGAAAUUCUUCCUUGAACCUGGUCUGCCUUGCAGUAGAUUUGCUACUUGGCAAUGCCAACAAAGUCAAAAAUAUAACAAUUGGAGUAGAGCAGGAAGAAAAGGCUUCAAUAACAACAAUAACCCAAUAAAGGCAAAUCCAGGAAUAUCAAAAACUAAAGGGAAAUCCAGGAAUAUAACAAUCCCAAAAACUAAAGGGAAAUCCAGGAAUAUCGAAAGAAUACAAUAAAGGCAUGAAGAAACAAAGCUUGAAAAGUAACUUACAGAUAUGAAGCCCAAACAAUAAGAACACCAAAAACAGAAAUGACUCAAAAGCAGUAAAUAUCAGCGGAAGUACAGGUUAACCUGAUGCUAAAGUGUAGGUUUCAAACUUCGGAAGGCAAAAUGCAACUCAUGAAAUUUAUAAGGGUUUCCUGCACUACAAUUCAAUAAUAUCGACUACAAAUAAAUCACACUAAAGAAAUCAAUGGCUUGAGAGAGAGAGAGAGAGAGAGAGAGAGAGAGACAAUUGAACUAUUGAAGAGGCAAACCCUUCAGCAAUUUUCUGCAACCAUUUAAUAGCUAAAAUUACAUUCCUAAUAGCUACUAUUUUCUGCAAUCCUUCUGAAAUCUGACUUAUUUGGAAAGUAACACAAGGCAUUAAAAAUCUCACUAAAAGAUGCAAAACUCUAUCCGCAAUAACACCAUAUACUAAGCAAACUCGUAUGUGGCAAAUAACAGUAAAAUUAGUAAGUUGACAAAGCACACUGAAGGAAAUAAGGAGAGGUUAGGAAAAGGGGAACAAAUAUUUUACUGGGGAGCCUCAAUGCAGAAAGACAGCCUAGUCCAUGGUCCAAGCAUCAAGUCCCCUCCAAAGGCAAAUAACCGCUGCGGUUGCCAUUAGGCCAUCCAAGCUGCCUUUCUAUCAAAACAUUUAUUGCUGGAUUGAGAAAAAAAAAAAAAAAAAAAAAAACUCAAAGAAAAGAUAAGUAUCCCUGUCAGAGAUUUCCCCAUUAAUCUUCAUCAGUACCUUUCAGAUCAAAACAAAGACUACAAAGAAAAGAAAUGAUUUUAAUGUGCAAAUUGAACACAGGAGGAAGCAGACCCUUGCUAAGGACACCCAUUCCUCCAAAGUAGAGAAAUUAUUGCAUGCACUGGGGUACAUAGAUCAUGAUCUCCGAAAAUUUGCAAACCUAGAAGCCUCUUUCAUCAGAGAGAGAGAGAGAGAGAGAGAGAGAGAGGGAGAGGAAGAAAUAAAGAAGGCACACACAUGCAUGCACACUAGGGGUGGAAACGAACCGAGCUCGAGCGAGCUUACCUCGGCUCAAAUUCGGCUUGAAAUUAAUUUCGAGCCCAAAUUUAAGCUCAAGCUUGGAUUGAAAUUAAUUCGAGCCGAGCUCGAGCGAGCCUAAUUUCAAGUCGAGCGAGCUCGAGCCCUAAACAAGCCGCUUGAAUUUC
Molecule: long non-coding RNA, 16893 nt
Filed under: Ananas comosus (pineapple)
Lineage: Eukaryota; Viridiplantae; Streptophyta; Magnoliopsida; Poales; Bromeliaceae
Description: long non-coding RNA (ACOM_LNC028468)
Source: RNAcentral